Long non-coding RNA from Leucoraja erinaceus (little skate), 890 nucleotides. RefSeq lists it as uncharacterized. The transcript is spliced from 3 exons. Lineage: Eukaryota; Metazoa; Chordata; Chondrichthyes; Rajiformes; Rajidae. The record is from RefSeq and is a predicted model, not a curated record.
GGCAAGGCCAGCAUCGCCACCGCCACCCGCCCGGCCGGGAGACUCCAGCGCCAGCGCCACCCCACGGCAAGGCCAGCAUCGCCUCUCAGAUAACCACAAAGUAGAUUAUUUAUCUGGCUCAUAAUUACUCCCAAUAUUGAGGAAUGUUUCACCCGAUGCCGGAGUUCCAUCUUCACGGCAAGAGGGCCCUGAAAAUCAUCGGACUGGCUGCACGGCCACAAAUGAGCCCCGACCUCGGGUGUUUCACAGAGGAAGAGGACUUAACGUUCUGGUGCCUUUCCCCACAUUGGAAAUUUUUGAUUCUGCUGUGGGGAUGUUUCAGGCCACACCGUACACAGAGUUCCAGUCAUUAACUUAAUCAAAUGAAGUUACUGUCAGUGACGACUACCAUCAAUGAAGCAGUGGACUGGUGGCUCCAAACCAUGGUCAAUGGUGCUGCUUUUGAAUAGAGCUUUUGAGUACAGCUGCGAAUUAAAAAGAAUUCAAGAUCCACAAUAGUUGCCAGUUGAUUUGAACUCCAAAGCGUAAUUGAAAGUGUAAUGUUACAGUUUUGAACAAUGCCUUUGAAUUUGAAGAAAGCUUUCACUGUGGUGAAUAUAAAUAAUACCUUUUCAUAUUGCUGUAUUUGUCCGUUUUGGUAUGGUAUAUUAUUCACUGUGCACUAAUGAUGUUCUUUCAUUUACAGAAAAGGAUCAUAUGUUCAGAGAUGUAUGUUCAGGGACUAGCAGUAAAAUAAUGUUCAAGUUCUGGGAACUUUCUGCUUAGUUAACCAAUAUUCUUGAACUUUUGGGCAAUACAGAUAUUAGUUUGAGAGAACACAUAGUACUCUCCUGUUUACAAAUCAUCUUAAAAUAACUUGCUACCAUACAGAAAGUGUAAGUGUGGUUAUU